Molecule: long non-coding RNA, 770 nt
Organism: Oncorhynchus nerka (sockeye salmon)
Lineage: Eukaryota; Metazoa; Chordata; Actinopteri; Salmoniformes; Salmonidae
Exons: 2
Source: RefSeq, a predicted model, not a curated record
UUAGGAGGUACGGCUUCGAGGGGGACCGGAGGAGAAGUGUGCUCCUGCACCAGUUGUGGUCGACGAGGGCACACGUCCGACCGGUGCUGGAGGAACUCGUCUAGGAGUCGGGAGGAUAGGCGGAACACUGCUCGAUCACCCCAGGCCGGUGGUGGCUGGUCCCCUGCAAGAAGGUGAGGUGCCUGAGGUCCCUCCGCCCCCUCUGGACAUCGAGGGGUCCCCGGCGUACACAGUUCGAGUCAUUCUGGAUUCGAGACGCCGGGUGGGGGCCUACAGUACCUCGUGGACUGGGAGGGGUACGGCCCGGAGGACCCUUCUCUCCUGAUAGAAUUCCACCGCCUCCACCCGGAUCGCCCAGCACCUCGUCCUCCGGAUCGUCCUCGAGGACGGUGGCGGCGCGCUGCAGGAGCCGCGCGUCAGGGGGGGGUACUGUCACGACUUCCGCCGAGGUUGGCUCUCCUGCCCGUUCAGGCGGUGCUCGGCGGUCGUCGUCACCGUCCUACUAGCCACUACCGAUCCCUUUUCGUGUAUCUGUUGGUUUUGUCUGAUUGGUUUCACCUGUGUGUUGUUUAGUUUAUUAGUGUCUGUAUAUAUAGUAGGUUGUCCCGCCCUUGUUUUGUGCGGGAUUGUUUAUUUGUCAUCUAUGUCUGUCGGUGUAUCUUGUGUUCUUAUUCUCCGGUUCGUCUUUUAUCCUGUGUUGGAUUGUUCACCCUGUGUUAUUGGGUUGACCGUGUUUCUUGUUCACCGGAGAAUAAACUUUCAUAUCGCUA